Molecule: long non-coding RNA, 585 nt
Filed under: Ixodes scapularis (black-legged tick)
Lineage: Eukaryota; Metazoa; Arthropoda; Arachnida; Ixodida; Ixodidae
Description: uncharacterized LOC115313323
Source: RNAcentral
GCCUACCUCAACAUGCGGCACUACGGGCAGCAAGGGAUGGGCGCAAGUGCCAGCGAAUACCAGACACCCUGAAGCCGGUGGAUGAUCAUCUCGACAUGUUCCUUGUGGUGCCAGCAACACUUGCACCGCUGGUGUGGCAUUCUUUGCACGCUAUGCUGGGAUAGUUUUUUAGGAGUGCCAUGUCUGGACAGCUUAUUCAGAAGCAGGCUGUCGUCGUCGAGAUCCAUGCUUUUUUUUUAACGGAUGAUGUUGCAGUGCCCACAUGGGCACUACAGAUUUGCAGCCUACAGGCAGUGUGCCCUGUGGCUGUGGAGCCGCUUGGGAAAGAAGAAUAGGCGGCCCCUGCCAUCCUGUGUGGUCAAGACAAUUAGGGGCAGGUACCCUGCUGACGUGUAUGCGGGCUACAAGGAUGCAGAAUAAAUUGCGUUGACCUAGAGACCACGCAACCCCCUUCCCUUGUCUCUUCACCCUCCCUGCAUGUGUGUGAAGUCGCUCGUAGCCAUGAACGGAAUCCUCUAAAUCACGUGACCUAUUAUCUACGAUAUCACGUGACCAUAACUAUGAUCACAUGAUCGUAGUCAAACC